ACCUAUGGCCAUGCUGCCCUGAACACACCGGAUCUCGUCUGAUCUCGGAGGCUAAGUAGGGUCGGGCCUGGUUAGUACUUGGAUGGGAGACCACCUAGGAAGACUGGGUUCUGUGGGCA
Molecule: ribosomal RNA, 119 nt
Filed under: Pteropus alecto (black flying fox)
Lineage: Eukaryota; Metazoa; Chordata; Mammalia; Chiroptera; Pteropodidae
Source: RNAcentral